This 248-nucleotide ribosomal RNA is filed under the name uncultured bacterium. RNAcentral describes it as "partial 16S ribosomal RNA". It matches the Rfam family "Bacterial small subunit ribosomal RNA", at positions 1246 to 1500 of the family's 1533-position model. The record is from RNAcentral.
GAAGCAAAGACCGCGAGGUAGAGCAAAUACUCAAAAAAACAAUCUCAGUUCAGACUGCAGGCUGCAACUCGCCUGCACGAAGUCGGAAUUGCUAGUAAUCGUAGGUCAGCAUACUACGGUGAAUACGUUCCCGGGCCUUGUACACACCGCCCGUCAAGCCAUGGGAGCCGGGGGUACCUGAAGUGCGUAACCGCGAGGAUCGCCCUAGGGUAAAACUGGUGACUGGGGCUAAGUCGUAACAAGGUAGC